CCUACGGGCGGCAGCAGUCGAGAAUCAUUCACAAUGGGGGAAACCCUGAUGGUGCGACGCCGCGUGGGGGAAUGAAGGUCUUCGGAUUGUAAACCCCUGUCAUGUGGGAGCAAAUUAAAAAGAUAGUACCACAAGAGGAAGAGACGGCUAACUCUGUGCCAGCAGCCGCGGUACUACAGAGGUCUCAAGCGUUGUUCGGCAGCACUGGGCGUAAAGCGUGCGUAGGCUGUUUCGUAAGUCGUGUGUGAAAGGCGCGUGCUCAACCCGCGGACGGCACAUGAUACUGCGAGACUAGAGUAAUGGAGGGGGAACCGGAAUUCUCGGUGUAGCAGGGAAAUGCGUAGAUAUCGAGAGGAACACUCGUGGCGAAGGCGGGUUCCUGGACAUUAACUGACGCUGAGGCACGAAGGCCAGGGGAGCGAAAGGGAUUAGAGACCCCAGUAGUC
Molecule: ribosomal RNA, 446 nt
Filed under: uncultured bacterium
Lineage: Bacteria
Description: partial 16S ribosomal RNA
Rfam family: Bacterial small subunit ribosomal RNA
Source: RNAcentral